UCGGAAAGCGCUGGCAUUCGCUCCUGUUACCACAGUCACAUGAACAUUUCCCAUGUGGCCUCGUUCGCCAGUUUCAAUUCCAACAGGACAGACGCGGACACGUUCUUUUUCAUAUAAGAGAGCGGGGGUCCGCACUGGAAAUGGGAUAUACUCUCUGUAACCGUGACGACUCGGAUGCAAAAAGGUGUGAGACAACUGGGUGGGAACCGAAAUCGAGUCGCGUGGGUCCGGAAGCGAAAACUGUGUGAAAUGAGUGUUUUUGUGUUAAAAUUUUAAAUCUCGCCGCAUGUGACGCGAUCGCAAAAUUGCAACAACGAUUGCCGACGACGACAACUCACUUGGUGUGCUUUAUGUGAAAUUUAAACACAACGAUCGAACAGGAACGCAGCCCCGGAAGUCACGUUGAGGCUUGGUUAUCAUCGGAUUCGUCCGAAAGAUCGUUCCAUGACUGAAUUUUUCCUGAUCCGAACAGGAUGUAGAUGACAUUCGUGACAUUGAGGACCCAGAAAGCGACCCAAAAUACGGUACGCCAUUCACUGAGCGUUUGCUGGAAAAAUAUACGGAAAGGCAUUUAAAAUAAUAUAGGAUUAGAUUUGUAAUUAUGUUAGAUAUAUUAACUUAGAUAUGUAAAACACUGAAACCACAAUUAACGUAAUGAAUUGGGGUACUAAAUAGAA
This is a long non-coding RNA of Aedes aegypti (yellow fever mosquito), 677 nucleotides long. RefSeq lists it as uncharacterized. The transcript has 2 exons. NCBI's taxonomy places the organism in Eukaryota, Metazoa, Arthropoda, Insecta, Diptera, Culicidae. The record is from RefSeq and is a predicted model, not a curated record.